GAUGAACGCUGGCGGCGUGCCUAAUACAUGCAAGUCGAGCGAACGGACGAGAAGCUUGCUUCUCUGAUGUUAGCGGCGGACGGGUGAGUAACACGUGGAUAACCUACCUAUAAGACUGGGAUAACUUCGGGAAACCGGAGCUAAUACCGGAUAAAAUUUUGAACCGCAUGGUUCAAAAGUGAAAGAUGGUCUUGCUGUCACUUAUAGAUGGAUCCGCGCUGCAUUAGCUAGUUGGUAAGGUAACGGCUUACCAAGGCAACGAUGCAUAGCCGACCUGAGAGGGUGAUCGGCCACACUGGAACUGAGACACGGUCCAGACUCCUACGGGAGGCAGCAGUAGGGAAUCUUCCGCAAUGGGCGAAAGCCUGACGGAGCAACGCCGCGUGAGUGAUGAAGGUCUUCGGAUCGUAAAACUCUGUUAUUAGGGAAGAACAUAUGUGUAAGUAACUGUGCACAUCUUGACGGUACCUAAUCAGAAAGCCACGGCUAACUACGUG
RNAcentral lists this ribosomal RNA (497 nucleotides) under uncultured bacterium. Its description in RNAcentral is "partial 16S ribosomal RNA". It matches the Rfam family "Bacterial small subunit ribosomal RNA", at positions 28 to 507 of the family's 1533-position model. The record is from RNAcentral.